This 208-nucleotide ribosomal RNA is filed under the name uncultured bacterium. RNAcentral's name for it is "partial 16S ribosomal RNA". It matches the Rfam family "Bacterial small subunit ribosomal RNA", at positions 568 to 774 of the family's 1533-position model. The record is from RNAcentral.
AGCGCAGGCGGGAAGACAAGUUGGAAGUGAAAACCAUGGGCUCAACCCAUGAAUUGCUUUCAAAACUGUUUUUCUUUGAGUAGUGCAGAGGUAGAUGGAAUUCCCGGUGUAGCGGUGGAAUGCGUAGAUAUCGGGAGGAACACCAGUGGCGAAGGCGGUCUACUGGGCACCAACUGACGCUGAGGCUCGAAAGUGUGGGUAGCAAACA